This 212-nucleotide unclassified non-coding RNA is filed under the name uncultured Dactylella. Its description in RNAcentral is "sequence contains ITS2". The record is from RNAcentral. Lineage: Eukaryota; Fungi; Ascomycota; Orbiliomycetes; Orbiliales; Orbiliaceae.
UAAUCCCUCCGGGUAGCGGUUUUUGCACCACUGCCCGGGCCUUUGGCGCGGGGAAGUAUCCGCGGAGCUUCGGCACCAGGAGUUUUCCCCCGCUUAAACGCGGAGAAAGCUAGCCGGCGAUGCCCCAAAUGCAACGACUUGUAGAAUAUCUAGCGUCGUGAUGCUUCUGGAGCUCCCGGCCUCUGAACAAUAGGGGCCCCCAGGUCCCAGAU